This 447-nucleotide ribosomal RNA is filed under the name uncultured bacterium. Its description in RNAcentral is "partial 16S ribosomal RNA". It matches the Rfam family "Bacterial small subunit ribosomal RNA", at positions 29 to 523 of the family's 1533-position model. The record is from RNAcentral.
AACGAACGCUGGCGGCAGGCUUAACACAUGCAAGUCGAACGCCCCGCAAGGGGAGUGGCAGACGGGUGAGUAACGCGUGGGAAUCUACCGUACCCUACGGAACAACAGUUGGAAACGACUGCUAAUACCGUAUACGCCCUUAGGGGGAAAGAUUUAUCGGGGUAUGAUGAGCCCGCGUUGGAUUAGCUAGUUGGUGGGGUAAAGGCCUACCAAGGCGACGAUCCAUAGCUGGUCUGAGAGGAUGAUCAGCCACAUUGGGACUGAGACACGGCCCAAACUCCUACGGGAGGCAGCAGUGGGGAAUAUUGGACAAUGGGCGCAAGCCUGAUCCAGCCAUGCCGCGUGAGUGAUGGAGGUCUUAGGAUUGUAAAGCUCUUUCACCGAUGAAGAUAAUGACGGUAGUCGGAGAGGAAGCCCCGGCUAACUUCGUGCCAGCCGCCGCGGUAA